GAUAAACGAUCUAUGGCUGAACCACCAUUCACGUGUUUUGCAGGGAAUGUACCUCCUAGCUGAGCGUGCAGUGGCUUCUUGAUGACUCCAACACUGAGUGACCUCCCUCCACUAUCUAUGCCUCCACUAUACACAUAGACGUUUUGAUUGUAAGGAUCAACGGACUGCUUCGAUGUUGGCUGCAUGCAGUGGUUCCCUGGAGAUGGUCUCUCUAUUCUUGGUGAAGGUGCUGAUGUUAACCUAUAUAUAGGACAAGGACGGCUCUUUGGCACUCAUGUUUGCUAGUGAGAGUGGUCAUAUGGAGUAGCGGGGUCACUUCUCACACACCUUCACACAGAUCACAGCCUCAUGCAAGGACAAUUUAAGGUAAGGGUUUGCUAUUUUCAUUAACACUGUAUUUUUAUAUAACCAGGACGGUCUAACAGCUCUGGACGUUGCUAAAAGAUGCUGGGUUCAUCGAACUAAUUAAUGGCACUGCUGGGAAAUGACAAUGAUGACUAUAAUUAGGAUUUUAUCAAUGAUCAUUGUGCUAUUUUUUGUAUCUCCUGUGUUUGUGCGCAUUAUUGUUAAUUGAGGGCGGCAAGUGCCCGAGUGUG
Molecule: long non-coding RNA, 596 nt
Organism: Halichondria panicea
Lineage: Eukaryota; Metazoa; Porifera; Demospongiae; Suberitida; Halichondriidae
Exons: 3
Source: RefSeq, a predicted model, not a curated record